This 434-nucleotide ribosomal RNA is filed under the name uncultured bacterium. RNAcentral's name for it is "partial 16S ribosomal RNA". It matches the Rfam family "Bacterial small subunit ribosomal RNA", at positions 28 to 506 of the family's 1533-position model. The record is from RNAcentral.
AGCGAACGCUGGCGGCAGGCUUAACACAUGCAAGUCGAGCGGGCACUUUCGGGUGUCAGCGGCGGACGGGUGAGUAACGCGUGGGAACGUGCCCUCUGGUUCGGAAUAACUCAGGGAAACUUGAGCUAAUACCGGAUACGCCCUUUUGGGGAAAGGCUUGCUGCCGGAGGAUCGGCCCGCGUCUGAUUAGCUAGUUGGUGAGGUAACGGCUCACCAAGGCGACGAUCAGUAGCUGGUCUGAGAGGAUGAUCAGCCACACUGGGACUGAGACACGGCCCAGACUCGUACGGGAGGCAGCAGUGGGGACUAUUGGACAAGGGGCGCAAGCCUGAUCCAGCCGUGCCGCGUGAGUGAGGAAGGGCUUAGGGUUGUAAAGCUCUUUUAUCCGGGACGAUAAGGACGGUACCGGAGGAAUAAGCCCCGGCUAACUUCGU